GACGAACGCUGGCGGCGUGCUUAACACAUGCAAGUCGAACGGAAAGGCCCUGCUUUUGUGGGGUGCUCGAGUGGCGAACGGGUGAGUAACACGUGAGUAACCUGCCCUUGACUUUGGGAUAACUUCAGGAAACUGGGGCUAAUACCGGAUAGGAGCUCCUGCUGCAUGGUGGGGGUUGGAACGUUUCGGCGGUUGGGGAUGGACUCGCGGCUUAUCAGCUUGUUGGUGGGGUAGUGGCUUACCAAGGCUUUGACGGGUAGCCGGCCUGAGAGGGUGACCGGCGACAUUGGGACUGAGAUACGGCCCAGACUCCUACGGGAGGCAGCAGUGGGGAAUAUUGCACAAUGGGCGGAAGCCUGAUACAGCAACGCCGCGUGCGGGAUGACGGCCUUCGGGUUGUAAACCGCUUUCGCCUGUGACGAAGCGUGAGUGACGGUAAUGGGUAAAGAAGCACCGGCUAACUACGUG
This 468-nucleotide ribosomal RNA is filed under the name uncultured bacterium. Its description in RNAcentral is "partial 16S ribosomal RNA". It matches the Rfam family "Bacterial small subunit ribosomal RNA", at positions 28 to 507 of the family's 1533-position model. The record is from RNAcentral.